ACUCCUACGGGAGGCAGCAGUGGGGAAUCUUGCGCAAUGGCCGAAAGGCUGACGCAGCGACGCCGCGUGUGGGAGGAAGCUCUUCGGGGUGUAAACCACUGUUGCCCGGGACGAACGAGCGAUUUCGAUCGCUGUGACGGUACCGGGUGAGGAAGCACCGGCUAACUCUGUGCCAGCAGCCGCGGUAAUACAGAGGGUGCGAGCGUUGUCCGGAAUCACUGGGCGUAAAGGGCGCGUAGGCGGCUCGGUAAGGUUGCGGUGAAAGCCCGGGGCUCAACCCCGGGUCGGCCGUGGCAACUGCUGGGCUGGAGCACUGUAGAGGCAGGUGGAAUUCCGGGUGUAGCGGUGGAAUGCGUAGAGAUCCGGAAGAACACCGGUGGCGAAGGCGGCCUGCUGGGCAGUAGCUGACGCUGAUGCGCGACAGCGUGGGGAGCAAACAGGAUUAGAUACCCUGGUAGUCCACGCCGUAAA
Molecule: ribosomal RNA, 471 nt
Filed under: uncultured bacterium
Lineage: Bacteria
Description: bacterial SSU rRNA
Rfam family: Bacterial small subunit ribosomal RNA
Source: RNAcentral